GACGAACGCUGGCGGCGUGCUUAACACAUGCAAGUCGAACGGAAAGGCCUGCUUUCCCUUGUGGAUUGCGGGUACUCGAGUGGCGAACGGGUGAGUAACACGUGAGUGAUCUGCCCCCAACUUGGGUAUAAGCCUGGGAAACUGGGUCUCAUUCCCGAUAGGACUGCAGGGUGGUGCCUGUGGUGGAAAACGAUUUUCUAGUGGUUGGGGAUGAGCUCGCGGCCUAUCAGCUUGUUGGUGGGGUAAUGGCCUACCAAGGCGGCGACGGGUAGCCGGCCUGAGAGGGUGGACGGCCACAUUGGGACUGGGACACGGCCCAGACGCCUACGGGAGGCAGGAGUGGGGAAUAUUGCACAAUGGGCGGAAGCCUGAUGCAGCGCCGCCGCGUGGGGGAUGACGGCCUUCGGGUGGUAAACUCCUUUCGACCGCGAGGAAGCCACCUGGUUGGAAGGGUGGUGACGGUAGUGGUAGAAGAAGCACCGGCUAACUACGUG
Molecule: ribosomal RNA, 494 nt
Filed under: uncultured bacterium
Lineage: Bacteria
Description: partial 16S ribosomal RNA
Rfam family: Bacterial small subunit ribosomal RNA
Source: RNAcentral